This is a non-coding RNA of Oryctolagus cuniculus (rabbit), 1307 nucleotides long. Lineage: Eukaryota; Metazoa; Chordata; Mammalia; Lagomorpha; Leporidae. The record is from RefSeq and is a predicted model, not a curated record.
CGUGCGCCGGGCUCUCUGGGACGUGUUCUAGAACGUUCCGGAACAUUCCACAGAAUUCCUCGCGAUUCCAAGGACAUUCCCUGGGCAUUCUAGAACAUUCUGGAAUCCUGGAAACACCCACCAGGGGUUCUGGAAAAUUCCAAGGCCCAAGAACGCACGACAGACUCUCCCAGAAUUCCCUGGGAGCACUGACCGUUCCGGAACGUCCCUGGUGUCCACCAGGAUGUUUGCACAACCUUCGGCCCGCCAACUCCUCCCCCAGCCCUGGCAAUAAAUAGACGCCGGGUCCCCGCCGGCUCAGACGACGACGAAGACGAUGGUGAUGAAGAUGACGGUGACGAAGGCUCUCCUCCUCGCCCUCACGGUGGGCGUGGCCUGUGCGGACGUCGACCCCGCCCAGCUCUCCGGGCCCUGGCGCACCUCCGCCAUGGCCUCCAACAACCUGGAAAUGAUCCUGAAGGAUGGGCCACUCCGGAUGCUGUUCCGCGAGAUGGAGUGCAACGAGGACUGCAACGCCCUGAACGUCUUCUUCUACGUCAAGAAGAACGAGGUAUGCACCCCGCACACGGUUGUGGCCCAGAAGAACGCAGACUGGCAUCUACACCACUGACUGUGAGUACAGAGCAUUUCGGAAAGUUCCAGACAAUUCCAGAUGACCCCAGGGAAUGUCCGGUGUGUUCCAGAAUGUUCGAGAAUGUUCCCAGAAAUGUUCCAGGAUGUUGCAAAUGUCCCAGAAUGCUCCAGUUCCUCAAUGUUCUAGAAUGUUCCAGAAUGCGCUAGAAUGUCCCAGCAUGCCCCGGCACAUCCAGAACACCCACCUCUCUCCCUACAGUCGAGGGCCAGACCUCCUUCCAGUUCCAGGAAUUGGAUCCCACUAGCCUCAUCGUCUUCAUCAAUAACAUGGCAUCCGGCGGCACCACCAGCCGCCUCAGCUUCCUCACUGCCAAAUUGAAUUUCAUAAACGAUGACGCGCUGGACGACUACGCGAGGCUCACGGAGCAGAAUGGGAUCCCGCGGAAGUACAUCCGGCGUGUGGCCGACACAGACACCUGUCCACCCUGAGGACGCCUCCCUUGGAGAAGGUGCCAGAACGUUCUAGACCAUUCCAGAACCGCCCCUGAUCGCCUCACCAUCUCCUCCCACCUGCGAAUGCGCUAGCAUGCUCCGGACAUUCUAGAACGUUCUGGAUUGAUCCAAGAUGGUCUGGAUCGUCCCAGAAUUUCUAGAAAGCUCCGGAACAUUCUAGAAUCGGCCGUCCCCGGCUUUCUCUGCUUCCUGUUCAUGGAAUAAACUCAUCCUAGGCACAG